Molecule: ribosomal RNA, 2787 nt
Filed under: Escherichia coli
Lineage: Bacteria; Pseudomonadati; Pseudomonadota; Gammaproteobacteria; Enterobacterales; Enterobacteriaceae
Description: bacterial LSU rRNA
Rfam family: Bacterial large subunit ribosomal RNA
Source: RNAcentral
AGCGUACACGGUGGAUGCCCUGGCAGUCAGAGGCGAUGAAGGACGUGCUAAUCUGCGAUAAGCGUCGGUAAGGUGAUAUGAACCGUUAUAACCGGCGAUUUCCGAAUGGGGAAACCCAGUGUGUUUCGACACACUAUCAUUAACUGAAUCCAUAGGUUAAUGAGGCGAACCGGGGGAACUGAAACAUCUAAGUACCCCGAGGAAAAGAAAUCAACCGAGAUUCCCCCAGUAGCGGCGAGCGAACGGGGAGGAGCCCAGAGCCUGAAUCAGUGUGUGUGUUAGUGGAAGCGUCUGGAAAGGCGCGCGAUACAGGGUGACAGCCCCGUACACAAAAAUGCACAUGCUGUGAGCUCGAUGAGUAGGGCGGGACACGUGGUAUCCUGUCUGAAUAUGGGGGGACCAUCCUCCAAGGCUAAAUACUCCUGACUGACCGAUAGUGAACCAGUACCGUGAGGGAAAGGCGAAAAGAACCCCGGCGAGGGGAGUGAAAAAGAACCUGAAACCGUGUACGUACAAGCAGUGGGAGCACGCUUAGGCGUGUGACUGCGUACCUUUUGUAUAAUGGGUCAGCGACUUAUAUUCUGUAGCAAGGUUAACCGAAUAGGGGAGCCGAAGGGAAACCGAGUCUUAACUGGGCGUUAAGUUGCAGGGUAUAGACCCGAAACCCGGUGAUCUAGCCAUGGGCAGGUUGAAGGUUGGGUAACACUAACUGGAGGACCGAACCGACUAAUGUUGAAAAAUUAGCGGAUGACUUGUGGCUGGGGGUGAAAGGCCAAUCAAACCGGGAGAUAGCUGGUUCUCCCCGAAAGCUAUUUAGGUAGCGCCUCGUGAAUUCAUCUCCGGGGGUAGAGCACUGUUUCGGCAAGGGGGUCAUCCCGACUUACCAACCCGAUGCAAACUGCGAAUACCGGAGAAUGUUAUCACGGGAGACACACGGCGGGUGCUAACGUCCGUCGUGAAGAGGGAAACAACCCAGACCGCCAGCUAAGGUCCCAAAGUCAUGGUUAAGUGGGAAACGAUGUGGGAAGGCCCAGACAGCCAGGAUGUUGGCUUAGAAGCAGCCAUCAUUUAAAGAAAGCGUAAUAGCUCACUGGUCGAGUCGGCCUGCGCGGAAGAUGUAACGGGGCUAAACCAUGCACCGAAGCUGCGGCAGCGACGCUUAUGCGUUGUUGGGUAGGGGAGCGUUCUGUAAGCCUGCGAAGGUGUGCUGUGAGGCAUGCUGGAGGUAUCAGAAGUGCGAAUGCUGACAUAAGUAACGAUAAAGCGGGUGAAAAGCCCGCUCGCCGGAAGACCAAGGGUUCCUGUCCAACGUUAAUCGGGGCAGGGUGAGUCGACCCCUAAGGCGAGGCCGAAAGGCGUAGUCGAUGGGAAACAGGUUAAUAUUCCUGUACUUGGUGUUACUGCGAAGGGGGGACGGAGAAGGCUAUGUUGGCCGGGCGACGGUUGUCCCGGUUUAAGCGUGUAGGCUGGUUUUCCAGGCAAAUCCGGAAAAUCAAGGCUGAGGCGUGAUGACGAGGCACUACGGUGCUGAAGCAACAAAUGCCCUGCUUCCAGGAAAAGCCUCUAAGCAUCAGGUAACAUCAAAUCGUACCCCAAACCGACACAGGUGGUCAGGUAGAGAAUACCAAGGCGCUUGAGAGAACUCGGGUGAAGGAACUAGGCAAAAUGGUGCCGUAACUUCGGGAGAAGGCACGCUGAUAUGUAGGUGAAGCGACUUGCUCGUGGAGCUGAAAUCAGUCGAAGAUACCAGCUGGCUGCAACUGUUUAUUAAAAACACAGCACUGUGCAAACACGAAAGUGGACGUAUACGGUGUGACGCCUGCCCGGUGCCGGAAGGUUAAUUGAUGGGGUUAGCGCAAGCGAAGCUCUUGAUCGAAGCCCCGGUAAACGGCGGCCGUAACUAUAACGGUCCUAAGGUAGCGAAAUUCCUUGUCGGGUAAGUUCCGACCUGCACGAAUGGCGUAAUGAUGGCCAGGCUGUCUCCACCCGAGACUCAGUGAAAUUGAACUCGCUGUGAAGAUGCAGUGUACCCGCGGCAAGACGGAAAGACCCCGUGAACCUUUACUAUAGCUUGACACUGAACAUUGAGCCUUGAUGUGUAGGAUAGGUGGGAGGCUUUGAAGUGUGGACGCCAGUCUGCAUGGAGCCGACCUUGAAAUACCACCCUUUAAUGUUUGAUGUUCUAACGUGGACCCGUAAUCCGGGUUGCGGACAGUGUCUGGUGGGUAGUUUGACUGGGGCGGUCUCCUCCUAAAGAGUAACGGAGGAGCACGAAGGUUGGCUAAUCCUGGUCGGACAUCAGGAGGUUAGUGCAAUGGCAUAAGCCAGCUUGACUGCGAGCGUGACGGCGCGAGCAGGUGCGAAAGCAGGUCAUAGUGAUCCGGUGGUUCUGAAUGGAAGGGCCAUCGCUCAACGGAUAAAAGGUACUCCGGGGAUAACAGGCUGAUACCGCCCAAGAGUUCAUAUCGACGGCGGUGUUUGGCACCUCGAUGUCGGCUCAUCACAUCCUGGGGCUGAAGUAGGUCCCAAGGGUAUGGCUGUUCGCCAUUUAAAGUGGUACGCGAGCUGGGUUUAGAACGUCGUGAGACAGUUCGGUCCCUAUCUGCCGUGGGCGCUGGAGAAUUGAGGGGGGCUGCUCCUAGUACGAGAGGACCGGAGUGGACGCAUCACUGGUGUUCGGGUUGUCAUGCCAAUGGCACUGCCCGGUAGCUAAAUGCGGAAGAGAUAAGUGCUGAAAGCAUCUAAGCACGAAACUUGCCCCGAGAUGAGUUCUCCCUGACUCCUUGA